UCCCCGGCAGUCCAGUGGCUAAGACUCUGCACUCCCAAGGCAGGGGGCCCGGGUUUGAUGCCUGGUCAGGGAA
Molecule: transfer RNA, 73 nt
Filed under: Bos taurus (domestic cattle)
Lineage: Eukaryota; Metazoa; Chordata; Mammalia; Artiodactyla; Bovidae
Also listed under: 2 other names
Source: Rfam by way of RNAcentral